CCUACGGGAGGCAGCAGUGAGGAAUAUUGGUCAAUGGACGAGAGUCUGAACCAGCCAAGUAGCGUGAAGGAUGACUGCCCUCUGGGUUGUAAACUUCUUUUAUAUGGGAAUAAAAUGUUCCACGUGUGGGAUUUUGUAUGUCCCAUAUGAAUCAGGAUCCGCUAACUCCGUGCCAGCAGCCACGGUAAUACGGAGGUUCCGAGCGUUAUCCGGAUUUAUUGGGUUUAAAGGGAGCGUAGGUGGAACGGUAAGUCAGUUGUGAAAGUUUGCGGCUCAACCGUAAAAUUGCAGUUGAAACUGGCAGUCUUGAGUACAGUAGAGGUAGGCGGAAUUCGUGGUGUAGCGGUGAAAUGCGUAGAUAUCACGAAGAACUCCGAUGGCGAAGGCAGCUCACUGGACUGCAACUGACAUUGAGGCUCGAAAGUGUGGGUAUCAAACAGGAUUAGAUACCCUAGUAGUC
This 460-nucleotide ribosomal RNA is filed under the name uncultured bacterium. Its description in RNAcentral is "partial 16S ribosomal RNA". It matches the Rfam family "Bacterial small subunit ribosomal RNA", at positions 338 to 795 of the family's 1533-position model. The record is from RNAcentral.